Molecule: non-coding RNA, 187 nt
Filed under: Chromatiaceae bacterium
Lineage: Bacteria; Pseudomonadati; Pseudomonadota; Gammaproteobacteria; Chromatiales; Chromatiaceae
Description: 6S RNA
Rfam family: 6S / SsrS RNA
About the family: E. coli 6S RNA was the first non coding RNA to be sequenced, but its function was unknown until recently.
Source: RNAcentral
CAUCCUCUGCGGUGUUCGUGAACCGGCUUCGUUAUCCCUUGAGCCUAUGUAUUGUCGACAGGGAGCCGAGAUCACUGUAGUGGUGUGCAUGUCCGCUCCGAGCGGAAAGCCUGAUCUGCAGCCGAGGUUCCCACUUGAACCUGACGGUUCAAGGUCACAAACCGGAAACGGCACAGGCGGAGGAUGC